CCCCUAGAUGUUCUGGGCCGCACGCGCGCUACACUGAACAGUUCAACAAGUCUUAACCUUGGCCGAUAGGUCUGGGUAAUCUUUGAACGCUGUUCGUGAUUGGGAUAGACCUUUGCAAUUAUGGGUCUUCAACGAGGAAUUCCUAGUAAACGCAAGUCAUCAGCUUGCAUUGAUUACGUCCCUGCCCUUUGUACACACCGCCCGUCGCACCUACCGAUUGAAUGGUCCGGUGAAAUCUCGGGACGGCGGCUUGGUCGCUUGCGUCCGACUGCUGAAACUUGAUUAAACCUUAUCAUUUAGAGGAAGGAGAAGUCGUAACA
Molecule: ribosomal RNA, 320 nt
Filed under: uncultured eukaryote
Lineage: Eukaryota
Description: partial 18S ribosomal RNA
Rfam family: Eukaryotic small subunit ribosomal RNA
Source: RNAcentral